CGACUCGAGGGGCGGGGGAGCCGGGAGUGAAAGGCAACCAGGUAUGUGGAUCUUAGCUCCCUGACUGGAGAUUGAACUUGUACCACCUGCAUUGGAAGGGGAAGUCCUAACUCCUGGACCACCGGGGACGUCCUGCCUCAUCUCUCUUAAGAUGAUUGGCUUAAAGCAGCUUAUGUGAUACGCAGAUCCAGGCAGACGACGAGAUUCCCCGGAGCUGAGUGAGCCGGGUCCUCCUGUGUCCUAUCUCCACAGGGGCAGGGUCGCAUGAUGUCGGGCAGGACAGACCGUCUGGAAGUCUCACCGACUGCCUUUUGCCUCUUGGUCCCUGAGCAUGUUUAUUUUCGCACCAUUCUGCCCUCUCUUGGUUGUCUUGUUGUGGGUGAGCUCCCCCAGGCUGCAGUGACCAGGCGCCACGAGAGGCUUAAGACAACGGAGUACGUUGCUUCAUAGUCUGGAGGCCAGACCUGCAGGGCCGUGUUCCCCGAGGUGCCAGGGAGGGGAGUCUCCCAGCCGUCUGCUCAGCCUCCGGCAUUGUGUCUUAUGGUCUGUGGAUGCUUCACACCUGGCCAUCUCCUCCGUGCACAUCUGUGUGUCUCUCCUCUUAGAGCGACGCCAGUCUCUGGCUUAGGGCUUACCCCCUGCCAGUGUGGCCUCGUCUUCCCUAAUUCCACCUGCAGAGAACCUAACUCCCCCUAAGGCCCCGUUCACAGGUAUUGGGCUGGUCUUGUUGCUGUUCAGUCGCUCAGUCGUGUCCGACUCUUUGUGACCCCAUGGAAGGCAGCACGCCAGGCCUCCCUGUCCAUCACCAUCUCCUGGACUUUGCUCAGACUCAUGUCCAUGGAGUCAGCGAUGCCCUCCAACCAUCUCGUCCUCUGUCGCCCGCUUCUCCUCUUGGACGUGACUUUUUGGCCCCCGCCGAGCCCACCAAAGUUGGAUUAAGUGUUGGGUCUUCAGCGAGAGGCCAGAUUGUCUCCGCCCCGCAGAAGCCGCGUCGCAGACGGCAGACGGUAUCGCGCCAGCUCCCCAUGUGCGCACAUGCGAUUGCAAAUCUCGAUGGAGCUGCUGUCACAGACAGGCUGAUUCCAGGUUUCUUGCUCUCCCGCGUUUCCGUCUGCCGCCCUUGGGUCUUGCAUGCCAUCCUUGCCAGAUCCACGGUCAGCCCUUGACUGGGCCCGGGAACGUCUCCAUCACUUGCCCUCUCUGCUCCACGUCCACCUUUGGGGCCAGCCGCAGCCUCUCGCCUUCCAUGGAGUCUGUCCAUCUCCCCGUAUCUGCAUUGCGACCUGUGGACCCCAGAGCUUGGCGUGUCCCGCCCUCGGCGUCGAGCUGAUGGCCUCUGUGUCGCUGCUUACAGAAUCUUUGCCUUCAGGGGGUGGUUGUUUGCCUUUCGUCACUGUGGAGCUAUUUGUAUCCUCAACACAUUUGCUAAUU
Long non-coding RNA from Dama dama (fallow deer), 1431 nucleotides. RefSeq lists it as uncharacterized. The record is from RefSeq and is a predicted model, not a curated record. The transcript is spliced from 5 exons. NCBI's taxonomy places the organism in Eukaryota, Metazoa, Chordata, Mammalia, Artiodactyla, Cervidae.